Osmerus eperlanus (European smelt) is the source of this 75-nucleotide small nucleolar RNA. RefSeq annotates it as small nucleolar RNA SNORD2. The transcript has a single exon. NCBI's taxonomy places the organism in Eukaryota, Metazoa, Chordata, Actinopteri, Osmeriformes, Osmeridae. The record is from RefSeq and is a predicted model, not a curated record.
GAGCGAAAUGAUGGCGUACCAUCUUUCGGGACUGACCUCUCGAAUGGAGACAAUUAUGUGCUCUUCUGAUCACUC